CCCUUAGAUGUUCUGGGCUGCACGCGCGCUACACUGAUGCACUCAACGAGUUUACGACCUUGCCCGAUAGGGUUGGGUAAUCUUUUUAAAAUGCAUCGUGAUGGGGAUAGAUUAUUGCAUUUAUUAAUCUUCAACGAGGAAUUCCUAGUAAGCGCGAGUCAUCAGCUCGUGCUGAUUACGUCCCUGCCCUUUGUACACACCGCCCGUCGCUCCUACCGAUUGAGUGCUCAGGUGAAUAAUUCGGACUGCAGCAAUGUUUGGAUCCCGAACGUUGCAGCGGAAAGUUUAGUGAACCUUAUCACUUAGAGGAAGGAGAAGUCGUAACA
RNAcentral lists this ribosomal RNA (326 nucleotides) under uncultured eukaryote. Its description in RNAcentral is "partial 18S ribosomal RNA". It matches the Rfam family "Eukaryotic small subunit ribosomal RNA", at positions 1470 to 1796 of the family's 1831-position model. The record is from RNAcentral.